ACUGAAUAGAUACCCGGGUAGUCCACGCCGUAAACGAUGAAUACUUGGUGUUAGAGGUAUUGACCCCUCUAGUGCCGAAAGCUAAACGCGUUAAGUAUUCCGCCUGGGAAGUACGGUCGCAAGAUUAAAACUCAAAGAAAUUGACGGGGGCCCGCACAAGCGGUGGAGCAUGUGGUUCAAUUCGAUGCAACGCGAAGAACCUUACCUGGUCUUGACAUGUAUUGGAAGACUACCAGAGAUGGUGUCGCCUUCGGGCCGAUACACAGGUGCUGCAUGGCUGUCGUCAGCUCGUGUCGUGAGAUGUUGGGUUAAGUCCCGCAACGAGCGCAACCCUUGCCUUUAGUUGCCAGCAUUCAGUUGGGCACUCUAAAGGGACUGCCGACGUUAAGUCGGAGGAAGGUGGGGUAUGACGUCAAGUCCUCAUGGCCUUUAUGACCAGGGCCACACACGUGCUACAAUGGUCGGUACAGAGAGAUGCUAAGUCGCAAGAUGGUGCUAACCU
RNAcentral lists this ribosomal RNA (502 nucleotides) under uncultured bacterium. RNAcentral describes it as "bacterial SSU rRNA". It matches the Rfam family "Bacterial small subunit ribosomal RNA", at positions 772 to 1274 of the family's 1533-position model. The record is from RNAcentral.